Molecule: ribosomal RNA, 301 nt
Filed under: uncultured bacterium
Lineage: Bacteria
Description: partial 16S ribosomal RNA
Rfam family: Bacterial small subunit ribosomal RNA
Source: RNAcentral
CAGUCGCCGCGGGAAUACGAAGGGUGCAAGCGUUAAUCGGAAUUACUGGGCGUAAAGCGCGCGUAGGUGGUUUGUUAAGUUGGAGGUGAAAUCCCCGGGCUCAACCUGGGAACUGCCUCCAAAACUGGCUGACUAGAGUACGGUAGAGGGUGGUGGAAUUUCCUGUGUAGCGGUGAAAUGCGUAGAUAUAGGAAGGAACACCAGUGGCGAAGGCGACCACCUGGACUGAUACUGACACUGAGGUGCGAAAGCGUGGGGAGCAAACAGGAUUAGAUACCCCGGUAGUCCCUGUCUCUUAUAC